RNAcentral lists this ribosomal RNA (486 nucleotides) under uncultured bacterium. RNAcentral describes it as "partial 16S ribosomal RNA". It matches the Rfam family "Bacterial small subunit ribosomal RNA", at positions 29 to 507 of the family's 1533-position model. The record is from RNAcentral.
AUUGAACGCUGGCGGCAUGCUUUACACAUGCAAGUCGAGCGGCAGCGCGGGGGCAACCCUGGCGGCGAGCGGCGAACGGGUGAGUAAUGCAUCGGAACGUAUCCUCGAGUGGGGGAUAACCCAGCGAAAGUUGGGCUAAUACCGCAUGAGCUCUGAGGAGGAAAGCGGGGGACCUGCGAGGGCCUCGCGCUGGAGGAGCGGCCGAUGUCCGAUUAGCUAGUUGGUGGGGUAAAGGCUUACCAAGGCGACGAUCGGUAGCUGGUCUGAGAGGAUGAUCAGCCACACUGGGACUGAGACACGGCCCAGUCUCCUACGGGAGGCAGCAGUGGGGAAUUUUGGACAAUGGGGGCAACCCUGAUCCAGCCAUGCCGCGUGAGUGAAGAAGGCCUUCGGGUUGUAAAGCUCUUUCGGACGGAACGAAAUGGGCGGGACUAAUACUCCUGUCUGAUGACGGUACCGUAAGAAGAAGCACCGGCUAACUACGUG